CAUGGUUGUCGUCAGCUCGUGUCGUGAGAUGUUGGUUAAGUCCCGCAACGAGCGCAACCCUUGUCUUCAGUUACCAUCAUUCAGUUGGGGGACGUCUGGAGAGACUGCCGGUGACAAACCGGAGGAAGGUGGGGAUGACGUCAAAUCAUCAUGCCCCUUAUGACCUGGGCUACACACGUACUACAAUGGCGUAUACAACGGGAAGCGAAAUGGUGACAUGGAGCAAAUCUCACAAAGUACGUCUCAGUUCGGAUUGAAGUCUGCAACUCGACUUCAUGAAGUCGGAAUCGCUAGUAAUCGCGGAUCAGCAUGCCGCGGUGAAUACGUUCUCGGGUCUU
Molecule: ribosomal RNA, 338 nt
Filed under: uncultured Erysipelothrix sp.
Lineage: Bacteria; Bacillati; Bacillota; Erysipelotrichia; Erysipelotrichales; Erysipelotrichaceae
Description: bacterial SSU rRNA
Rfam family: Bacterial small subunit ribosomal RNA
Source: RNAcentral